AAUUAGAGUAGCUCUUUUUUUAUAUCUUUGGGUGAGCAAAUGUUUAUUGAUGUCUUUGAACAAUUUUUUUAUUAUUAUUUUAAGGAAACCUGGCUUACAUUGGUUGUUUUCCUUUGUUUAUUCAACAGUUUUUGCUUUCUAUAACCUAAGAAACCUUUGCCUAGAUCACAAAUAUUCUGUGUUUUCCUACUAGAGCUUCGUUUAGGUGUUUAGGUUUAUGGUCUGACUAAAGUUAACAAAGUGUGGUGUGAGUUAGGUUUGAGGUGGAGCUCCCCAUGCAGUUACUUCAGCCUCAUUUGCUGACAACCUUUAUCCCCUUAUUAGUUAAACUAAAUGACAAAUACUUCUAUUUAUAGGGCUCUAUCUCACUGAUAUGUUGGUCCUUAGUCAAAUAUUUUUUGCAUCUAUGUUCAUGUUCAUGUGAGAUAUUAGUGUGGGUAUUUUUGUUUGUAAUAUUGGUAUACUGUAGCUUUAUGAGAAUUCUUUUCUCUCUUUUUUUGGAUGGGGGGUACGCAGUGCUGGGGAUUGAAUCCAGGACCUCAUGCAUGCCAUUGAUCUGUAUCCCCAUCCCCAGCCUUUAGGAUGUUUUUAUGUUGUUGUUGUUGUUGUUGUUGUUGUUACCAGGAAUUGAACCCAGGGGUGCUUAACCACUGAGCCGCAUCCCAACCCUUUCUUUCUUUAUUUAUUUAUUUAUAAUAUUUUAAUUUUUUUCGUACCAGGGAUUGAACUCGGGGGCACUCAACCACUGAGCUACAUCUCCAGCCCUAUUUUGUAUUUUAUUUAGAGACAGAGUCUCAUUGAGUUGCUUAGUACCUAGCCAUUGCUGAGGCUGGCUUUGAACUCACUGUCCUCCUGUCUCAGCCUCCCGAGGUGCUGGGGUUAUAGGCAUGCGUCACUGCGCCUGGUCCAUUUUUUAUUUUGAGACGGGGUCUUGCUAUGUAGCUGAUGCUGGCUUUGAAUUUGUGAUCCUCCUGCCUCAGCCUCCUGAGUCACUGAGAUUAUAGGCAUGCUUUGUGAGAAUUCCUUAAGUUAAAUGAUAGAAUCUUUCAGCUUUGUUCUUCCCCACUCCCCAAGAUUAUUUUGACUCCUCUUGUUUCUUUGCAUUCCUCUUUAUAGUUUGUGUUGACCCCUCUGUUACUGGGGGUCAACAUUGCUGGGAUUAUGAUUAGAAUUAUUUGAAUUUUUAGAAAAAUAAUGGCUUUAUUGAGAUAGAAUUCACAUGGAAUACAAAAGUGGACAUCUCGGUAGUUUUUAGUAUAUUUACAAAUAUAUCUGACCCUACAUAUUCAAUUUUAGAUAUUUUCAUCAUCUCAAAAAGAAAUCCUGUCCCCUAGCUGUCACUCCCUUGUCUCCCCCUGCUAACCCACUUUCCACUUCCAAAUCAGCUUGCUCUGCACGUUUUAUGUUCGUGUGAUCAUGUAACCCAUAGUGUUGGGGACUGCGGACUGCGUUGUUAAUGUUAAUUCAUGUUAAAACCCUCACCCCUGAAUGAUGGGUCUUGGAGGCAGGGUCUUUGGGGGGAAUAAUUAAGGUUAAG
Molecule: long non-coding RNA, 1537 nt
Filed under: Marmota monax (woodchuck)
Lineage: Eukaryota; Metazoa; Chordata; Mammalia; Rodentia; Sciuridae
Source: RNAcentral